AAAUAAUAUCAUGGUUAAAUCAGGAUCUCCAGAUAAAGACAAGAGAUUCUCUCUGACUGACAACACGACGAACAGAGUUUUCACCGUCACCAUCACUGAUCUGAGAAAAGAGGAUGAAGGACAAUACUGGUGUGCUGUGAAGAGGACUCUUUUUUUUUUUUGAUAUCUUUUUAACUGAUGUCUAUUCAGAGAUUUUGUUGCUGGUUAAACAGGAUAAAAACACCACUGAAGUUUCAACCAUCAGCUCUUUUUCAAAAACACAGUCGUCUUUCAGCACAACAGAACUGAAUCCACAAUCAGUGUCUCAUCAAACUGAAAGUGAAACGACAAGAACAACAACAGGAAAUACUACAGUUGAACUCCAUCAGCCAACCACUAACCUGCUUUCUGUUGCUGGCGGUCUGGGUUCGGUUCUGCUGGUUCUGACUCUGUGUUCUGGAACGUGCCUCAUCCUGAAAAAGAGGAAAAGGAAA
This is a long non-coding RNA of Ctenopharyngodon idella (grass carp), 473 nucleotides long. RefSeq lists it as uncharacterized. The record is from RefSeq and is a predicted model, not a curated record. Lineage: Eukaryota; Metazoa; Chordata; Actinopteri; Cypriniformes; Xenocyprididae. The transcript is spliced from 4 exons.